Molecule: non-coding RNA, 73 nt
Organism: Odocoileus virginianus texanus
Lineage: Eukaryota; Metazoa; Chordata; Mammalia; Artiodactyla; Cervidae
Source: the annotation of a RefSeq genome assembly
UCCCUGGUGGUCCAGUGGUUAAGACUCUGCGCUUCCAAUGCAGGGGGCACAAGUUCAAUCCCUGGCCAGGGAA